UUCUCGUUGAUGAUCGGUGCUUGCACCGAGAUUCAACAUGGAACGAGUGGCGGACGGGUGAGUAACACGUGGGUAACCUGCCCUUAAGUGGGGGAUAACAUUUGGAAACAGAUGCUAAUACCGCAUAGAUCCAAGAACCGCAGGGUUCUUGGCUGAAAGAUGGCGUAAGCUAUCGCUUUUGGAUGGACCCGCGGCGUAUUAGCUAGUUGGUGAGGUAAUGGCUCACCAAGGCGAUGAUACGUAGCCGAACUGAGAGGUUGAUCGGCCACAUUGGGACUGAGACACGGCCCAAACUCCUACGGGAGGCAGCAGUAGGGAAUCUUCCACAAUGGACGCAAGUCUGAUGGAGCAACGCCGCGUGAGUGAAGAAGGCUUUCGGGUCGUAAAACUCUGUUGUUGGAGAAGAAUGGUCGGCAGAGUAACUGUUGUCGGCGUGACGGUAUCCAACCAGAAAGCCACGGCUAACUACGUGCCAGCAGCCGCGGUAAUACGUAGGUGGCAAGCGUUAUCCGGAUUUAUUGGGCGUAAAGCGAGCGCAGGCGGUUUUUUAAGUCUGAUGUGAAAGCCCUCGGCUUAACCGAGGAAGCGCAUCGGAAACUGGGAAACUUGAGUGCAGAAGAGGACAGUGGAACUCCAUGUGUAGCGGUGAAAUGCGUAGAUAUAUGGAAGAACACCAGUGGCGAAGGCGGCUGUCUGGUCUGUAACUGACGCUGAGGCUCGAAAGCAUGGGUAGCGAACAGGAUUAGAUACCCUGGUAGUCCAUGCCGUAAACGAUGAAUGCUAGGUGUUGGAGGGUUUCCGCCCUUCAGUGCCGCAGCUAACGCAUUAAGCAUUCCGCCUGGGGAGUACGACCGCAAGGUUGAAACUCAAAGGAAUUGACGGGGGCCCGCACAAGCGGUGGAGCAUGUGGUUUAAUUCGAAGCAACGCGAAGAACCUUACCAGGUCUUGACAUCUUUUGAUCACCUGAGAGAUCAGGUUUCCCCUUCGGGGGCAAAAUGACAGGUGGUGCAUGGUUGUCGUCAGCUCGUGUCGUGAGAUGUUGGGUUAAGUCCCGCAACGAGCGCAACCC
This 1070-nucleotide ribosomal RNA is filed under the name Lacticaseibacillus paracasei. RNAcentral describes it as "bacterial SSU rRNA". It matches the Rfam family "Bacterial small subunit ribosomal RNA", at positions 65 to 1104 of the family's 1533-position model. Lineage: Bacteria; Bacillati; Bacillota; Bacilli; Lactobacillales; Lactobacillaceae. The record is from RNAcentral.